Molecule: unclassified non-coding RNA, 2153 nt
Filed under: Leishmania donovani
Lineage: Eukaryota; Euglenozoa; Kinetoplastea; Trypanosomatida; Trypanosomatidae
Description: gene:LdHU3.11.0560(CDS-product:hypothetical_prote in_conserved)
Source: RNAcentral
CCAACUGCGCUCGCCUCGUGCACGCAGGCACGCAUGCGGAGGUCAACCUUCUCUGCUCAGCGCGACGCGCAACACCGAGGCGGUAGUGCGCACAGCAGCACCAGCAGCAACAACAACGGUGCUAAGUCGAGUCCAGGCGCCGCUGCUGCAGCCUCGCUGAAUGUGUGGGCACGCGCUCGUCUCCUCGACUCCACUGCGCAGAUACUCGCAGCGCAGCCGGCAGACCCGCUGCGUGUCCUGAGCGUUCGCUUCUCUACGGAAGCCGUCCUGGCCGCCACUUACCCCACAACGUCUGCGCCGACGAGGGAAAGAGAGUUGGAGGCGGAAGCGGGUCGCGUGAUCGGUGCACCGUCGGCACCAGGGGCAGCGAAAUCUACCGCGUUCAAUAAUGGUUCCGAAAAGCCGAACCUGUCGAUUGUCACCAACGACCGUAACGCGUCCGUACCUACAGUGGAGCACCUGAUAGAGCAAAGCUGGGUAAGGCGACGCCUGCAACCGUACGGCCUGCACGCAGUGGCGCGGUGUGCGUGCGCGUGUCCGCCGCUGCGUCCCCCGCCUGCCGCCCCGAGUCGCUUUGCGGUAAGCACGUCACCGGUGGGCAGUGCGGAAGGUCUCGAUACCGCUACCGCCAGAGCUGCGUACGCCAUGUCGUCACCUCGGCUUCCGCAGUGGAUGGACAUGUUUGCCUUGCUGCAUCGGCAGAGUCGCAUGUCCUAUGUUGAACUCGCUGCCGAAGCCAAGCACUGGGACGCCCAAUCAUGCAGUGCAGCUGUUAUGCCGCCAGUCGACUACAGCGCCGCUGAAGAGAUUCCUGCCUCGGCAGUGCUUCUGUGUGUGAUGGCGGUCAUUGAAGAGCACCUGCGCCGUGCAGAGUGUGGCGGGAGAACAAGUGGUGCUGAGAAACCGCCUCGGCUGUGCCGCCGCCUCCAAAUCUCAGUGAAGCUGCUGGCGCUGCAGCUCCUGGCAGCCUUCAUGGAUCUCCAGCACAACGCCGAGAGCACCCAGUGUAGCAGCAACAGCAGCAGCGCGAGUGCCUUAGAUCCAGGACAAGAGGACGAAGUCCAGGAGAGCAGCCAUGAUGACAGGAACACCACAACAGGGGACGCUGAUGUCUGUCACAUUACACGCGGCGUUUAUCUCCUGACCGUCCAUCAGCUUGAUGAACUUCAUCACUGGCUGCACUGCUGUUUGCGGGAGAUGAUCGUUUCGCCCCUCUCACCGCACACGGCUGGCACAGCUGCCGUGGAUGGAAGAGACGGCUGUGGUACCAGGAGCGGUGAGGCGGACGAUCUCAAUGCCGGGUCACCGCUGGAAGCCCUUAAGUCACGGGCCACAGCGUACUUGACCCGCGUUCUCGGGAGCCCUGCGCAUGGCAUGGCAGCGUCGGCGAGCAUGCUGGGCGUGGUGUCUCUGGAUACCUUCGUUGCCUUCAUGGAGCGCCUGGCCGCCGUUGUUGUGGCCCAUCAGCAAACAGCAGUCGCUAUGGCGAUCGCUCUCUCUGCUCGGUUGCCACCGACAGCCACGGCCUCAGCAGGAGAGGCACAACUACCAGCAUGGGUAAUGGAACAUGUCAGCAAGUGUGCUGAUGCCGUUGUGCAACAACAGACGAUUCUGCAAGAUGGCUCCAUGCCGGAUCCAAUCGCCUCUACGGUGCCGCUGGCGUGGAGGGUGUACGUAAACCAUAUCUCUGAGCUUCUGGCACCCUUCCAGCGCGACGUUCUGGCGCACGUUUGUCGCGAACAGCAAGAAGAGGAAAACCACCGCGGCACCUUGAAUGAUGGCAUCUUGCGCAAACUCCAACGACGGCUCCUGUCAUGGGCGACAGAGGCGGUGCACCGCCAUGUCAAGGUUCGGAAAAGGCUCACAGCGGACGACUUUUCUCCCGCAGUGGUGGCAGCUGAGGUCGUGGGUGCGUGGGUAUCGCAUGUAUUCGAAGCCUAUACCGUCACCCUCUAUCCGAAUUGAGUAAGAGGUGCCCGCAUGCAAACAUACAUCCACAUCCGCACAGACACACACGCACACACGCUUUGGAUCCAGGCCACGGUGUGACCCCCUCUCCCCACCGCCGGCCCGCUCCUUUCGAGCCGACGCUUUUAUGUGGCUCAUCCAUCUCACCGUGAACUUCGUCGAUAACCAAAAGCGAACAGAAAACU